UGUACUUCCUGUGUAAUGGAGGACGCUACAGGCCACAUGUAGCAGGGCGCAUGUAUUCUGCAUAGUAAACUACCGACAAUAUCAUCUUUUGACCACAUAAGUACCACAACCUGUUCAUCUGCUGUAACCUAUCAUCUGAUGUUUUGGAUUAAAGCAACUUCUGUGAAUAGAAUCGGUAUUGCCUUGCAUGUCAUCGCUCAAGGUGUGCUUAAUGAUGAUAACAACAGGGAACAAUUCCUGCACAAGGAGCAGCAACCCAGCCUACCUUGAAGUAAUACGUAACAGGGUGACAACACAGGAAAGCAAUUGGGAGAUAAGGAUAAAAAGGAUAGAGCGUUGUCACCCCAUAACAGAUCAGCACCUGAACAAGGACAGAAUUCUUACAGCUACGAAACAGUCACUUUAAUUCAGAUUUAUAAUACAAACUUCUUGAGUUGAAGCGUGGAGAUUACUGAGUAUUAAUGAAACACCUUCAUCUCGUGCAUAUGGCACAACGAAAGUCAAGAUUUCUUAAAGUGGACCUGAACCCAAAAAGUAAAGAUUUGCUGUCUUAUAGGGAACAUCUCGAAAUGCUGAUUCUGCCUAAACAGCACCCUGCAAUUCUUACUGUUUUAACUUUCCCUGAAAAAGGGAAAUACUUCCUGUGCCUUAAAGGGCUAGUUCACCUUUUAAGAACAAAUUCAAAGGUAGUGACCAAGAAGCAGAAAGAGAAGUGAAGGGAACACAGAUCUACAGAAUGGAUGAAGCAAAAGCAGGGAGAUCCUUGAACAGCUGUGAGGCCUAAAGUGAUGAUGACGCUUCCG
Molecule: long non-coding RNA, 803 nt
Organism: Rana temporaria (common frog)
Lineage: Eukaryota; Metazoa; Chordata; Amphibia; Anura; Ranidae
Exons: 3
Source: RefSeq, a predicted model, not a curated record